AACAUGUUCAAGUGCAGUGGUGUUUAUAAUUAAUCGAUCACAGCAAGUUAGAGAUUCCUUUGUUCCUUCUCCACUCACACUGCUAGUCUUAAAAAGUCAACU
Molecule: non-coding RNA, 102 nt
Filed under: Carlito syrichta (Philippine tarsier)
Lineage: Eukaryota; Metazoa; Chordata; Mammalia; Primates; Tarsiidae
Source: RNAcentral